RNAcentral lists this small RNA (36 nucleotides) under Arabidopsis thaliana (thale cress). RNAcentral's name for it is "ATSL218910". Lineage: Eukaryota; Viridiplantae; Streptophyta; Magnoliopsida; Brassicales; Brassicaceae. The record is from RNAcentral.
AUCUCCUUAUUGCCAGCUCCACUUUUGUCAUUACUU